RNAcentral lists this non-coding RNA (20 nucleotides) under Arabidopsis thaliana (thale cress). The record is from RNAcentral. Lineage: Eukaryota; Viridiplantae; Streptophyta; Magnoliopsida; Brassicales; Brassicaceae.
CACCUUUUCCAGACAACGUG